This 488-nucleotide long non-coding RNA is filed under the name Homo sapiens (human). RNAcentral's name for it is "HSALNT0352365". The record is from RNAcentral. Lineage: Eukaryota; Metazoa; Chordata; Mammalia; Primates; Hominidae.
AGAUUCUACAAGAAGAGGGUUUCAACACUGCUCAAUCAAAAGAAAGGCUCAAUUCUGUGAGAUGAAUGCACACAUCACAAAGAAGUUUGUCCAAAUUCUUCUGUCUAGUUUUUAUGUGAAGAUAUUUCCUUUUCCACCAUAGGCCUGAAAGCACUCCAAAUGUCCACUUGCAGAUUCUACAAAAAGAGAGUUUCAAUACUGCUCUAUCAAAAGGAAGGUUUAACUCUGUGAGACGAAUGCACACAUCCCAAAGAAAUUUCUCAGAUUGCUUCUGUCUAGAUUUAAUGUGAAGAUAUUUCCUUUUCUACCAUAGUCCGCAAAGCGCUCCAAAUGUCCACUUGCACAUUCUACAAAAAGAGGGAUUCCAAACUGCUCAAUCAAAAGGAAGGUUCAACUCUGUGAGAUGAAUGCACACAUCACAAAGAAGUUUCUCAGAUUGCUUCUGUCUAGUUUUUAUGUGAAGAUAUUUCCUUUUCUACCAUAGGCUG